AGAGUUUGAUCAUGGCUCAGGAUGAACGCUAGCGGCAGGCUUAACACAUGCAAGUCGAGGGGUAUAGUUCUUCGGAACUAGAGACCGGCGCACGGGUGCGUAACGCGUAUGCAAUCUACCUUUCACAAAGGGAUAGCCCAGAGAAAUUUGGAUUAAUACCUUAUAGUAUAGCGAGUUCGCAUGGAUUUGCUAUUAAAGAUUUAUCGGUGAAAGAUGAGCAUGCGUCCCAUUAGCUAGUUGGUAAGGUAACGGCUUACCAAGGCUACGAUGGGUAGGGGUCCUGAGAGGGAGAUCCCCCACACUGGUACUGAGACACGGACCAGACUCCUACGGGAGGCAGCAGUGAGGAAUAUUGGUCAAUGGGCGCAAGCCUGAACCAGCCAUGCCGCGUGCAGGAUGACGGUCCUAUGGAUUGUAAACUGCUUUUGUACAGGAAGAAACACCCCGACGUGUCGGGACUUGACGGUACUGUAAGAAUAAGGAUCGGCUAACUCCGUGCCAGCAGCCGCGGUAAUACGGAGGAUCCAAGCGUUAUCCGGAAUCAUUGGGUUUAAAGGGUCCGUAGGCGGCUUAAUAAGUCAGUGGUGAAAUCCCUACGCUUAACGUAGGAACGGCCAUUGAUACUGUUAGGCUUGAAUUAUUAGGAAGUAACUAGAAUAUGUAGUGUAGCGGUGAAAUGCUUAGAGAUUACAUGGAAUACCAAUUGCGAAGGCAGGUUACUACUAAUGGAUUGACGCUGAUGGACGAAAGCGUGGGUAGCGAACAGGAUUAGAUACCCUGGUAGUCCACGCCGUAAACGAUGGAUACUAGCUGUUGGAAGCAAUUUCAGUGGCUAAGCGAAAGUGAUAAGUAUCCCACCUG
RNAcentral lists this ribosomal RNA (861 nucleotides) under uncultured bacterium. RNAcentral's name for it is "bacterial SSU rRNA". It matches the Rfam family "Bacterial small subunit ribosomal RNA", at positions 9 to 873 of the family's 1533-position model. The record is from RNAcentral.